RNAcentral lists this ribosomal RNA (496 nucleotides) under uncultured bacterium. RNAcentral's name for it is "partial 16S ribosomal RNA". It matches the Rfam family "Bacterial small subunit ribosomal RNA", at positions 29 to 507 of the family's 1533-position model. The record is from RNAcentral.
AUGAACGCUGGCGGCGUGCCUAAUACAUGCAAGUCGAGCGAACAGACGAGGAGCUUGCUCCUCUGACGUUAGCGGCGGCCGGGUGAGUAACACGUGGAUAACCUACCUAUAAGACUGGGAUAACUUCGGGAAACCGGAGCUAAUACCGGAUAAUAUAUUUAACCGCAUGGUUCAAUAGUGAAAGACGGUUUUGCUGUCACUUAUUGAUGGAUCCGCGCCGCAUUUGCUAGUUGGUAAGGUAACGGCUUACCAAGGCGACGAUGCGUAGCCGACCUGAGAGGGUGAUCGGCCACACUGGAACUGAGACACGGUCCAGACUCCUAAGGGAGGCAGCAGUAGGGAAUCUUCCGCAAUGGGCGAAAGCUUGACGGAGCAACGCCGCGUGAGUGAUGAAGGUCUUCGGAUCGUAAAACUCUGUUAUUAGGGAAGAACAAAUGUGUAAGUAACUAUGCACGUCUUGACGGUACCUAAUCAGAAAGCCACGGCUAACUACGUG